RNAcentral lists this long non-coding RNA (5811 nucleotides) under Ailuropoda melanoleuca (giant panda). RNAcentral describes it as "lncRNA (ENSAMEG00000027189.1)". The record is from RNAcentral. Lineage: Eukaryota; Metazoa; Chordata; Mammalia; Carnivora; Ursidae.
CUCCCAGCGGGAGGGAAGCGUCUUUGUGCCCGCACCCCUCCCCCACCCUCUGGGUCUCUGUGCAUAGGGGGCGCGGCCUCUGUCAUCCAACCCAGACUGGGAGGGCAUCUUUCUGCCCCUUCUCCGACCUCCUGUAUUUGGGUGUGUUUGGGGAGCCCUCGGCCGCUGUGUCCGGCAUCUAGACCCUUCAUCCGUUGCCAUGGCCACGAUCAGUGCCUGGAAGAGAAGGGGGAGCAGGGUAGGGGCUCCCUCUGGGAUCAGGCUUACAAAGUGGGGGGGAGUCUUGGGCUCUGCCUCUUGGGGCACCCCCUCAUGUGUGUGCACGUUGGGGGAACACAGUCACCCCCUUGGCAGGCCUCCCCCUACUGGACCCCCAUCUGGGCUUCCAGUGCCCCUCUGAUGAAGCUCCCCACUGGUCCCCUCGCCCCACUUCCGGCCAGCGCCCCGCCCGGCUCCGGAGCCCCCUCCCCGGGCCCGCCCCCUGGCCGCCCUACCCGCAGGCCCCGCCCCCGGGCCCGCCCCCAGGCCGAGCUCGCUGGGCCUUGGCCUCUCCCGAGUCCUGUCCUCGCUGCGCGCGGCGCUCCAGGCAGACCGAGGGACGGGCUGCAUCGGGCCCGGCCGGAGGGGCCCGGGCCCGAUCUCCAAGCCGAGAUCCGCGCGGGGUCCCAGCCACCCAAGUCCUGCCCGGUCUGUCCUGGACCUCAUCUCCAUCCUGUAAAGGCUCCAGCAGACCCUCAGAGCAGAUGUAAGUUCCAGCUGGAGGCCGUGCCCUUGCUGGCCUCCCCUGUGUGUGGUGUCUCCCUCUGGCCUCGGUUUCCCCCUCUGAAAUGGAUGUGGCCACCGGAAUGAUGUGGGUAAACUGUCCAAUGGGGCUGGGCAUGCAGUAGGCGUCUGAUAUAUGUAGGGGCCUUGCCACGUUCCCAGGGUGGGGAGGAAGCUACCGUCUUGGAGGAUGACAGGCCUGUGAUGGGAGACUCACAGGGUGCGGGGAUAGCCCCGAGGGGGCCCUGAUCUAGCCUGGAACAUCCGGGGGGCUUCUUGGUAGAGGUGACAGCUCAACUGAGACCUGUGGAUGAGUGUGAAGAUUGAAGUUCAGUGAGGAAGGAGGAAGGGUGUGCCGGGUAGAAGGAAUAGCAUGUGCUCGUUCGUUCCCCUUUGUGAGCCAGAGGACAGUGAGUAGGGGCACCCAUGGGGUGCACCAGGCUCUGGGGGGGCAACAUGGUGAGGUCAGCAGUUCUGAAGGCUGAGGUUAGGAAUCUGGAUUUUAAUGACAUUGAUGGGAGCCAUGGAAUGUUUGAGAGCAACGGAGGGACAGAGUCAGUUAGCCACUCCCAGCCCCAGAAUGACGGGUCAGCGCUGGGUGAAGGAAGGGUCCCAGGUUGGGGGUCAAGAGGGAUCAAGAUUUAGUCUAGGGUGGGGAGAUCUGUGGCUGGGUCUUGGAGCAUGAGUCCACAGGUGGGCUGGCUGGGGAAGGGUGUACCUGGUCCAGGCGCCCAUGUUAAAAAAGGCCCAGAGGCAGCCCAGUGCAUCUCGGAAACCACAGUAACCUGGGGGAAGAGCAGCAGGGUGGGCCCAGGGUCACAUCCUUCAGGGCCCAGAAUGCCGAGCACAGGAGCUGGGAGCCCUGGUGGGUGUGAGUGGGGCUGAAAUGUACAAAUCUUGGCAUCUCAGGCUUCUCCAUGGAGCUGGCGUGGCAGACAUACUGGCAGGGGCAAGCCUGGCAGCCCGGGCACCUAGGAGGGUGAUUGAGAGCUGGUCUCCGGCCUCGGAUCUCAGCCCAGCCCCGUCUCCCCGAGCUGCAUGCCCCUCACCGAGCAGCUACCCCUCUCUGAGCUCAUGUCCUCAUCUGUCCGGUGGAAGGACACGUGGAGAGCGUGUAAGAGGGCUCAGCACGUGGUGGGGCCACCCGGCUGGCAUUACUGUUUCCUCCCUCUGGGACUGGGCCUGGCUCCCCAUCCACACCUCCCAUCCGCUCCUUGCUGCGGCGACCCUUGGGGACAGCACCCAGUACAAAUCUAGAGUUAAUUAAAGGCGGAUCCCUUGGCCGGUGUUAGCCCAUUCUCGGAAGGCUGGCAGGGCUGGCCCCGCUCAGCCCCACCCUGAGCCCGUUUCCUGGUGGGGGGGUUUGGGGGGGACAUCAAGGCCCCAAGAGGGAGAGGGACUUGGCUAGAGCCACUUUGAGCCUACCAGUGACAACAGAGCUGGAGCUUGGACCCUCGUUGACACCUUGGGGACACAGCGAUCCAGGAAGGUUGGAGGCACAGGUUGUGCCCUUGAGGGUCUGCCUUGGAAAAGGGAUUCCAGUCAGCAGGACAGUCUGUGGGCCCAGAAGGGAGGGAGUGUGGGGGUGAAAGGUUGUGCUGGGAGGAGGGGGGACUUUCUCCUAAGGGCGACUGCCAGCAUCCCCGGUCUUAGAUUCCCUGGCCUGGGGCUGUGCAAGUCCCCUGAGGGUCGGGUUGUGCACAGAAGCCCCUGCCCCCCUAGGAUAGGACAGACCCUGAGGUGGGGGCAGGGAGAGGCACUGGGGUGCCCUCCAGCCUCAGGGACAGCGUCUCGUGCGGGUGACACCGAGCCUAUUUGCUGCCCAGUCCUGGGUCAUAAUUGCCCCUUUAUGCUUCCUGUUUCGCGUGGGUACACAAGGCUGGCUCCAGGAUCUCGUGACCCACGCCCUGGCGACCGGCUAGCAUGGGUAUCUUCCCACCCCUGUGAUCAAGGCCUCCGAGCGCUCAGAGGCUGCCUAGCGGUCUGCACUGGGCCCAGAGAGGAUCACCCACUUUGCUGGGAUCCCAGAGUGGCCAGGGAGGGGCAUGGUCAUGUGAUGAAAUGUGGGCUCUGGACCCAGGGUUUCACCCAGCUGGGGGACUUGGGCGAGUCCCCACUCUGUGAGCCUCAGUGUUGUCAUCUGUGAAAGGGAGCACCUGCCUCUGGCUGGCUGCCGAGAACAAACGCUGGUCGGUUCCACGCCUGUCCCGGAAGAAACUCGGUCACUGAUGGCCCGGCAGUGGGCAGGGACCCCCCCGGCCCUCGGUCCAGGUCCAGAGGCCAUUUUCCACCCUCCCUGAAGCCCAGACUCGUUUCCUAUCCAAGUUAUUCUCUGUGACUCCCAUGGGUGGCUGCUCCCUUGUUAACAGCCACGCCAUAGUCUAGGAACUCGGAUUGCUGCGUCAUGUGGCCCCAAUGUGGCUGCCUCAGUUUCCCUUUCUUGGCAGUGGCAGGGGUGGUGGCCCAGGCUGCUUUGCUACAAGAGGGGCAGGGAGGAGGCUUGGCCAAGGCCAAGCCAGCCAUGUCCCUCCCAGCCCAGAGCUGCCUAGAGCUCCUUGGUGUCCUAUGGGUCCGGUCCAUACCUGCCUCUUUGCCCUGAUCUCUCUCCUAGGUUCUCUGCUUCUUGCCCUUCCUCAUGCUGCUUCUUGUGCAGAGACACCCUCCCUGUUCCCAUUCACCCUUUUAUUCUCAGCCAAAUAAUACUAAAUCUGGGCAGAGGGCACAGCACAUGCAAAGGUCCUGGGGCAGGAACAGCGAGGGCUGUGUGGCUGGUGCAGAGUGAGGAAGGGGAGGGCAGGGAGGGGAUGGGGCAGGUCAUGCAGGCCUAGGGGGUCAGGGGAGGACUUGGGCUUUUACCCCAGGGAGGUGGGAGCCCUGAAGGGCUGUGGGCAGAGGCGCCCUCUGGCUUCAGGGGGAGGACAGAUUGUGGGGGCGAGGGCAGGAGAUGGCUGCAUUGGUCCCCGUGGGCGAUGAUGGGGCUGGACCAGUUGGAGGUGGAGGAAGGGGCAGAAAAUGGGAGGAAUUGGGGUAGAUUUUGAAGGCAGAGCUGGGAGCACUUGCUUCUUUUCUUCCCUGAGCCCUUGCAGGAGACCCCACCCAGAAUCCUCCAGGGAGAAGGAAGGGCAGGAGCCCCGGGAGGGCUCGGCAGGGGCCUGUCUCCAGCAUGGCCAGUUCCUCAGAGAGGACGGGUUCCUGAGAGACCCUGGAACUUUCCCUCUUCCUUGCGGUGCAUGACCCUCUCCUCCUUGAGUCUGCCCCCACCUCCCACCCCCAUUCCCGUUGGACCAUCCACGCCCCGGCAGCGCCCAGUGCUGCCCCCCCCCCCCAGCGGGCUGGCGUGGCGGAUAUGAAGGAGCCUGCGCCCGGAUCAGCCCCAUCCUGCCCGGACUAUUGAGGAGGCGUGGGCCCUGCGAGGCGGGGGCUCCGGGAGCCAGGGGGUAAUUAGGGGCCUCUCUAUUCUGAAGGCGGCUCCUCCUGGCUCUCUUGGGGGUGCGGGGAGUGGGAGAGGCGGCUGGAGCGGGAGGUCAUCUCUGUGCAGGUGGCCUCUGGCUCAUGCCUGCGUUCUGGGGGGGGACGCUGAGGUAAAGCAGGAGGUCCCCCUCCUGGGGGGUCCAUGGUGGGCCUAGCAGCCCUGAGUGUGAGCCACCCUGGGCUGCAGGCUUUCUGUGUGGCCUCAGUUUCCCCAGAGGCUCUCUGAGGGCCUGCCCAAGUGGCCUGGGCCCAAGCCCCCUACUCAGAUGUGCCCGGCAGCUGUGUGUCUGUGGGUGGGACCGGCUGCUGUGGUCACCGUGGCUCCAGCCCGCUGCGGCUCCUUUCCCCAUCUGGGGCCUCCACCUUGCUCUUGGGUCACUUUCACUCUUAAAGGGCCCAUGGCGGGGGUACCGGCUGGGGGUAAGGGGAUGUGCUCUAGGCUUCUCUUUCCCUACCUUCCCGGUCCCCGACUAGUCGUGUUUGAGUGUGUACCCGGAUUGCAACUCUGAGUGCCGGUCUGCGUGUGUCCUUAGACGAGGGGGUCUGACUUCGUCUCUGUAUUUACUGCCUGGCUGAUACGAGUGUGGCGUGCUGCCUACCCAGCCCGUCUCCGUCUCCGUGGUCUGACUGUGCGCACAUCUGAGUCUCAGACCCGUGCGCUCUGGUUGCCUGUUUGCACGCUGUAGACCUCUGAUCUGACUCCCUAUUUCUAUUCGUCUACAGCCCAACGGCGUAUGUGUGUCGUCUGCCUGACCACGACUGUGUGUGUGUAACCGGUCAUGCUGUUUGUCUGUGGUCUCUGCGUGGACCCACCUGUCUGAUCCCACCGUGCUUGUGGCCUGACUGGGUACGUGGCUUGUCUGCCCCGUGCUGACCCUGUACAUGCAUCUUACCUGACCCUGGGUGUCCGAGGUCUGAUUUUGUGCCUGUUGGUGGUCUCUGUGCAAGCUCUACUUGCGUGGCUACGCGUGUGGACCCAUCCUUCUUGCCCGGCUGUGCGAAUACGUCGGCGUCUGCGUCCGGUCUCCCUGUCUGUCUGUGGUCUGACUGUGGGUCUGUCUGUGGUUCAGGUGCAGGCAUCCUUCUCUCUGUCUGGUCUGUCUGUCCGUGGUCUGACUACGUGCAGGUUGAGCCCCCACCUCCACCCCUCACCCUCCCAUCCUGGCUUCCCCACCCCCAGCCCUGAGCCAUGACCAGGCCACUACCAGCCCAGCCUUCUCCCGGGGCCUCUCUGGGGCUGGGCGAGGUGACCGCAGCUGGGUAUUUCGGGAGGCAGAAUCACAGGGGCUGCCCCACCAUUAUGUGGCACCCAUCCCUGUGGUCGUGGCCUGGACCCGCCCGGGGCAUGGCCUGGGGUGGGUGUGGGGCUGACCUAGGCCUCACCUCUCUCUGCCUCUCUCGGGCCCUCUGCCCCGGCCUUCUGUCCUGGAGAUUGGGGAGGGGCUUUGGCCCAUGUGAUCAGGGGCUCUUCUGCCCUAGAGAGUUUAGAUUCUUGUGGGAGAAACAGACUCUGAGUGAUUAACAUUCGCAUGUAAUUUGCAAACUGGGCUGAAGUCGUGGAGGAUGAUGGUCUUACUC